This 409-nucleotide ribosomal RNA is filed under the name uncultured bacterium. Its description in RNAcentral is "bacterial SSU rRNA". It matches the Rfam family "Bacterial small subunit ribosomal RNA", at positions 29 to 416 of the family's 1533-position model. The record is from RNAcentral.
AGCGAACGCUGGCGGCGUGCUUAACACAUGCAAGUCGAGCGAAGGUGUUUCAAGGGUAACCUUGAGAUACACUUAGCGGCGGACGGGUGAGUAAUACGUGGAUAACUUACCUCUAGGCCUGGGAUAACCCCGGGAAACUGGGGCUAAUACCUGAUAAGACCACAUUGUCUACGGACAAAGGGGUAAAAGGUGGCUGUGCAAACAGCUAUCGCCAAAAGAUAGGUUCACGUCCCAUCAGGCAGUUGGCGAGGUAAUGGCUCACCAAACCAAAGACGGGUAGCCGGCCUUGGCGGGUGAACGGCCACACGGGGACUGAGACACGGCCCCGACUCCUACGGGAGGCAGCAGUGGGGAAUAUUGGGCAAUGGGCGCAAGCCUGACCCAGCGACGCCGCGUUGGGAAGAAGGCC